CUUUGGGUAAAAGUUGUUUAAUAAGAUCCCUGCUAAUGUUAGGAGCUUGUUCCAGGCGCAGUUUGCUGAGGAUUUGAAUCUUUAUGGCUUCUAUUCUGGAAGAUUUUGUAUUCUGUCUCCACGUACAAGCAUUGCAUAGUCCAUCUUUUUCGGAGUUCUCUGUGGGCUGACUCCCGUCAUCAAGAGCCAAGGGAUGAACUGAAAUCAGCAUGCACAGGGCAUGCAAAUUCAUUGCAUAAUGCAGAACUGAGCCUAAUAUUCAGCUCAUGACUAGUGACGUAAAUGGACCAAAGUCCUCUCCUGUAAGCCUGAAACCCCAGUGAGCUCCGAGCAAGAGCUGAGCGUGCGUGCUCUCAGCCACCGAGGUGACACGUGGUGGCAAACAGACCCUGCUGAGCCCUGUGCCUCUGCUCGCUAUUUAGAGGAAAACCACGAUCUUCAGAGAUUUGGGGUCUUGGCUGCCCUCCCCCAAGGUGUACAUAGGUCUGUGUCUGCAGUUUGAGUACCAGCACAAAACAUGACUCUGUCUGGUGGAUGAUUUCCUCAACUCAGGAGCUACAGGAGACAGCAGUGAGUCCCACCUGCCUCUCAUGAGCCAUGGGUUACUCCAUGAGGAGUUUGGUUUAGGAUGGAGUAAUCAACGAUAUUCUGCAAAUGUCUACAAUAUUUCAGGCAAGUGCUGUGGAGAGGGUAAGGACGGUCUCCACUGAGGAGGAGGCGAGUGCCCGGCUGCCCGGGCUGUAUGGCUGAAGCCACGUGUCCACCCUGUCUCUCACGCACAACUUCUCAGACCCACUCCUAACCUUCUGCCCAACACGAUCUCCAGUUUGACAUAUAGACAAAAUAUAGCUGUCACUUUCCCCAGAGCUCCUGGGGAGUUUUUAUUGCCGCUGUUUCAGUUUUCCUUCGUGAUGAACAUGCAGUGCUGCUUUGGUGAUGCAGUGCUCAGCUUCUACACACAACGCAGAAGGAGCCAUCCUUUAGAAAGUGUUUGUUAGUUUCAAUAUUCAACCUCCUCCCACUGUAAGAAAUUCCUACUGUUCUAGAAAAUUGUCAUAUUGAAUGAGAGUUAAUAGUCAGCAUCAGUUUUAAAGAUUUCUUGGCUGCUUCUGAAUUCCUCAGGUGUCAUUGCUCUGCCUUUAUUUGAAGACACUGACUACCCUGCUUUUGGGGAGCAAGGUAAUUUAGAGAGACCCAGGGAGUCAGCACCACUCACCGUUGUAGGGGACAAAACCUGGAAAGCCCCAAGAGCACUGGGAAAACAUUAGGCUUUUAUAAUAAUCUUUGCACUUCAGAGCAACCCAGGAAAAUCUAGUAUGGUGAAACUACUUCACAUCAGUCACUAGAAAAUUACUAAAAAAUCAAGACUUUUCUAAGUUUUUCAGCUCAAACCCAAAUUUUCUUCUACUUAACACUUCUAAAGCAUAUGGUGCAUAUAAAAUGAGGCUUUAUAUUACAAAAGCAUCUCAAUUUUGUGAAGGAAGGAAAGAUACUUUUGUUUCUGGUGUGACUAAUAAUCCAAAUGUCAGUCCAGUUCUUCCUGCUAGACAUACAAUGUUCUGUACUGUGUCCUCCUAAAGGUUUUUUCCUCUCUAUCCUCAGGCCAGACUCUGGUCCUGCUUUUAUCUCACUACAUGUAAGCUAUGACGAAAGUGUCUUUUUGUAUUGUAACAGCGCUACGGAAGAUGUAAUGUAUGUUGGAUAGCAAUGUUUUUCUGUAUUUAAUAUUUACUGUUUUAUUAAUGUUUCUUGGGAAAUCUGCUAAACAAAGCUGUAAGACAGGAGAGGUACAAAAAUGAUAAAGAAUGGACAAGAGGAGAUUUAUUACAAACAGGCAUCAGGUUUCUGACUGAAAACCAGAAAUAAGGAAAGCAUUUCAGGCCCUACCUUGCAGAAAGCAGAGGACAAAAGCUUCCAUGGGCUCUCUCUGACUUAAUGCCUCCUUGUAAACUUCGUCUUGUCUGUUCUACAAAAAAACUAAACAUAUUUUCUUGUAACACUAUUUCAAUGAGAUGUGGUAUGAUGUAAGUUCUUGAAAACAUUACAGGUUUUAUCAAACUAUCAAGACCCAUUUUGUGAAUUAACUUUUGUUUUAAAGAUUCCUAAAAUUUCCCAAAUAGACUUCCACUACAAACUUUCUGUUAAUUUCUGGAUUAAUGGCUAACACACAUUGAAACAAAGGCAUCUAACAACUAUUACACUCAGUUGGCUAAACAUCUGUGCUGUAUAUAAAUUUGUAAUUUAUUUUCUAACUCCUCUUCUGGUUUCCUCUUUUUUAUUGCUGAUAAGUAUAGUUGUUCUAUGGGAGAAAAUAAUUAAUACCCGCACAUUCUAUCUCAUUUUAUUUGGGCAGAGUGCCUUUAUAGUGUAACAUAUUGUUGUAAUUAUCUUUUUAGCACAUUAGUAAGCAUCUAGGCAAGCUCUAAGUAAAUAUUGUUGUUUCCUCAUGGAAAAUGUUGUGAAAAUGGAGGCUUAAGUAGUUCCAAAUGUCUUCACACAGGUGUUGGUGACUGGAUGAAAUGAAUUACUGCAAAUCAGCCCUUAUAUGCUGAAAGACUGCAGCACAUGCUGAAGCGUAAGUACAUGAGUAAAACUGAGCACGUGCUUCAAGUUCUGCUGUUAAAUGUGGCUUUUCACCCAGUUUUUGGAAAAAAAUGGGUCUUUCCCCAAAUAUCUCAUUGCAAUUAUGAUGAAGAUUGACGAUAAGAGUCAGCUAUUUUCACACAGUGCUGGGGAUUCAUUAAUGUGUACAAAGUUGAGUGAAUAUAUGGAUGGUUCAUGUUGUUUGUUCUCCUUUGAGCUAUAGCAGUGUAUGCACAUCCAAGUUAAAAAUAAUAAUAAUAAUGAGUUAAACAUAUUUUAAAUAUUCAGGAUACCUUUAUACAAGAAAGCUGAACAAGGGUUUACCUUUAUAUUCUAAACUUGGUUAAAAACUAUCAAACCCUUUUUUGAGAGUGGGAGGAUGGGAUGUUCCAAAAAUAAUUGUGAUCUAGAAAUCAAUGUUGUGCCCUAAGGUUUGGAGCAAAUGUGCAAUCGCCCUGCAAUGUACUUUUAUAGUACGAGAGUUGAAAACUAGGGCAGCCCUCAGUGAUUUCUGUGGCCUAUGCUGCUUGGGGAUACUCUAAUUGUACUUGUCCAUCCUUUUAAUCCAUCUAGUUGUAGACAUCAAGGAAAUAUUUUAAGACAACUAUGAGCUCUGAGAAAAGGCUUUUGUAAAUCUCAGUUGUGCACAGAAUACAAGAGCAAUGCAUAAUAAAACAAGAAUUAAGUAAGAAAGAGAGGAAAAAUCCAUAGCUGAGGAAAGGAACAUCUCUCCCAUCAACAAAGUUUUUGAAAAUAUAGCUUUUAUUUAAAUGACAGUUACUUAGUCCAUAAAGCUGGUUGUUGCAGGGAAGUGGAGCUUUGCAUCAUGGUUUUGAUUUUGAAACCAAAGUAUCUUAUUGCAGGGCAAUCGGGGCAUGUCAGGUAAAACUUCAAGGCUUUUGGAUUAAGAGAUUUUAGUCAACAAAAAACUUGGGGGUUUUUUAGCUCUUCAGACUCUAUAUUGAUUAUUUUUGGACUGCGUAACAUUUUCCAACCCAUACAGUUAGUGGGUUACUGCACGUAUAAAUAGAUUUUGUAAAGUCACCGCGUGACCAUGGGCGUGCUGGGUGGAAACUGCCAGGGCAGAGAAUACUUGUCCUACCUUCCCUUCUGUAACUUCAACUGAAUUAGAAACAUGUGCCUCAAUAAAGCCCUCCUGAACACAGGUAUGUGGAUGUAUAUUUAAAAUAAAAAAGAGAGAGAAAUGGAGCAAGCAUGAAGCCAGCAAUGGAUGACUAGGGACUGAGUUGGACAGAUUCGCUAUUCCUCCGUGGAGUUUUGUAGCACUUUUUGAAUGCCACAUCCCAUGUCAGUGAGAUCUUAAAUUAAUUUAAGCACUGCUUGGGAAAAGGAUUUGGAAGCUUGGAGAUGGGUUUGCAGAUGUGGAGAAGCUGUGAAGUGCAGCAGGUGGAAGGAUGAGGACAGAAGCUAUGAAAUUGUAUCAGAGGGAAGGAGAAACCAGAUUUCAUUUAUUCUGUUACCCUUGGACAAACUCAUUAGAAGUCUGACAUCUGGUACAGAGGUUGGUAAGUGACAAAUUUUACAUCAAAAGUAGUAGGUUAGCAAUUUCUCACCUAAGUUCCUCUGAAACUUCAGCAUAGCUACCACCAGGUCUUGGAGUUGGUGACUGCUCCAGCAAUGCCAGUUCAAGCACCAUUUGGUAACUUCCAUGGUUCAUUUUGUGCCAUUUUCCUCCCGUUGCAAAUGUAUUUAUGCUGCAUCCACCUUAUUAUCAGAAAGUGCUUCUAUCACUCUGGGGACAUCUGCAUGCAGAGCAUGGCAUGCCAAGCAUUUAGAGGGUUAGGGCUAUUACAAGAAGAUCUAGAACACUCCAAUAAGUAAAUAACUAAUUAAAAAAAUAAUAAAAUAAACAUUAGAUCUUAUGACAACAAAAACGUCAAACUUGUUUCAAAACCAUUUCUUCCAGAGGGCAAAUGCCUUUCUUGCCCCUACAGCAAAAUGCUUUCAGCCACUCAAAUUGGGAAGGUGGUGCAAGAAACAGCAUGAUCUGGGAAACGGAGUCCCAGGAAAGGCUUUGGUGUCCUCCCGAACCAGUCAGUGCACAGCAUGGCCUCCUGUGUCCUGGCGGGACUAGGUACCCUGGGGACCCUGCGGCCCUGCUCCCUGUGUGACUGCUGCACCUCUGAGGCCUCCGUGCUGGGGCUGGAGUGCCUCAGGUUUGGACAUUGUGCUUUCCAACACCACAGCACCUGUGUGUGUCCCCAGCCUUUCCCACCAAAAUGCUUUAUGAGCUAAAUAUUUCAUCGACUGCCUGGUGGUAGUCAUUUCAAAUGGAUGCUCCGCACUUAAAAAGACCGACUGCUUUGCUUGAGCCAGACAUAAUAAGCUGUCUUGCAUACUCCACAGCUUAUAAAAUAUUAAAUAUGUUUUGGCACCCAGAAAUAAAUAUCUGCUCAAAAUUCUCAUCACACCUAUCUCCCUCUCCUUAACUCCCUGUCCCCCCCUGCUUUACACUGAAGUGCUGCUGCUCAGACUAAAUGGUUUGUUGUCAAGUCAUGACACGGGGAGGCGAGCGCUGCACCAGUGCCGUAAGGUUAUUGUCAGUUGGGAUGUAACAAAGUGAUCCAGUCGGUCACUAGUGAUGUACUUGCAGCCUGUGAAAUGUCUGCCCCAUGGCUCAAAGUGGCUCAGUGGGAACUGCAUUCACUUAAAAACUGGAGUUCAAAGUGGAGCUGAGUUAGAAAGCAGGCUAGAAUAAAAAAGAGCACAGUAGUCAUAAACUGCUACAAAGAUAUUCAUAAUUUUGUUACGAAAUUCUUAUUUUUAAAGCGUAUAUCGUUUAAAAAUCACUGUUGUAACAAUACCACUGUGUUAAUGCAAGGCAACCAUGCCUUUCCAGUACUCUGUCAUGUUUUAAUUCCCAGGGCUAUGAUUUUAGUUUAUUUGCUCUUCUACCCAGCCAGGGCUGAACUAAAACAGUAAUAAAAGAUCUGACUGAAAUCCACCCAAGGCAGUGGGUCCCAAGUCAAAGCUCCUUGAAAUCAAAGGAUAUAACACUGCCAGCUCUAAGAGGCUUUGGAUCAAGCUCCUAAAACCCGCUCCUGCAAACACUUAAAUACACGUGCUUAGCUCCCAUCUGGGGAACUCAUCACUUAAAAAUCGCAUGUGUGAGCAGCCAGAGCUGAUGUUGGUACCUGAGGUUGCCUCCCCUGGGAAGUGCUGCUGCGGGGAAGCUCGAGGUUGCCCCCCUGCCUGCACCCCAGCCCCAGAAUUUCUCCCGUCCCUCUCUAAGGGCAGCGUGGUUCCCAUUAGUGCUUUGGUGAAAUGAUGCAGCAAAUGCAGCGUGUGCGAUCCCUGUGCACGGCACUUGCCAGCUGAAUGCUUCCUCCAGGAAUUAGUAAAAUCUGUAUAUUUUUUUAUUCACUGAUGGACUAUUUGCAAGUAAUGAGUGUAAUAUUGCGUGCUCUUGUCAAGUGGUCGCAGCAGCUGUAGGCUGUGAUCCUUUUGUGUUAGGUACUGGAUUUUGUUUGUGGAGGUGCACGGGGGGCUGCCCAGCACUCUGGGCUGGAGAGGGGGGCUUUGUUUUUGCUGCUCGUGUAUUUUUCUGUGCCCAUCCAGGCCCUGGCUGUCCAGCUCUGCGGAGCCUCCCCGGGACUUGGUAACAGCCAUGCAAUGGACUAACUGUGACCCAGCGGCUAUACUUAUAAUAGCAUUUUUCUUUAUUAAUAUUACCAGCGUAGUGUUUUAUUUGGCUCUGAUAACAUUGCAAUAAAUUCCUCAGCUGGCCCCUGACUAACUGGAAAUACAUUAGAAACCUACUUGACAAUAAAACAGUUGCCUAAAUAUGGAGGAAGACUUUGCCGCAGGUCAGCACAGGCAUUUAAAGCCAGUUGUACUCAGCCCCACAGCCCCCCGGCUUUUAGCCUCUCACUGCAGGAGUAAACCGGGGCUCAGCAGGAGCCUCGCAUCCCGAAGCACUGAGCCUGUCCCUGCCAGGACCGGGAGACCCCUGCCAGUCCUGGGGUGCUGGUUUCCAGCCCCAGGCAGGCGUGAGCUCCAGGGUGACCUCGCAGAGGUGACACCCAGGGUGUGCACUUGUGCUUUUUGCAGCAGCUUUGAUGUCAGGACUCCCCAAAGGCAGGAACGCUUUACCUGAGAUCUCUGUUCAGCCUCAGUUGAGAAAUAUUCUUUUCAUUUGUGGCAUCACUUUUAUUUUAGAAAUAUUAAAAAUGUUACUUUAGUUCAGGUUCUUCAUUCAGGAAGCUUUCUUUUAGGGUGGGGGCAUUUUUUUUAACGGUUUGGUAUAAUUAAUAUUUUUCUGUAGUUGUGAUUUGAUGCUGUCUGGCAGGAUAAAAUAGGAGAUGCAUCACCCAGGCCUCACCCCCAGCCCUUUCCACAGUUGUCUUCACUUAAUCCUCACCAGUACCGAGUCAUUCACCGUUCUGUGGCACGUUGGUGUUGUACGCAAGGGCUGAGCCGAACCCGCGAUUCUGACAGCGAGAAGCUUUCAGAGGGUGACUCUGUCCUUUAGAAACGCUUUCCCUCAUUUUAAAGACGGAGAAGCCAAUGAGAGGCGUCUCUCCUGGGAACCUGGAGGACGCGGCGUUGGUGGGACGAGGGCCUGGGUCAGACCCUGCAGGCGCCUUUGGAGGAAGGAGCAGCCCUCUCCAGGCUGACUGGCCACCGGAGUUUCAGCUCGAUGGAUGGAGGCACGCUGGUGGGAUCACGUUUGCAACGUGUUCUUCGCACUUAGACCAGCCCCAUCGUGCUGAGUCUCAGUCGUGAAGCUGGCUGUGCUGUGCUGGGGACAAGCGGGACAACUCGUUAAAAGCAGACACGUUCUGGAUUUCUUCAGAAGUAAAGAAGGGCAAAAGGAAACAUUCUGUUCUGUGAAAAUAACUGCAACUACUGGCAAGAAGCAGCAACACUGUGCAUCAAACAAGGAGACCAUUUCCAGGUCCUCAAAACAUGCUGCUGAACUGAGCUUUGCAGCUGCGUUUUCAAAUGUACCAUGGGAUGCAUCAAAUCCAAGGACGCCUUUGCAGGUUCCGAUGCUACCCAGGAUGAAAGGAUCCGGGAAGGUGACGAAGGCCACACCGGGGAGAAAUCAUCCCUGAUCGCAGCAAAGGCGGAUGAGAAAGGUCCAUCGAGCACGAUAGUGCUGGACUAUGCGCACCGACUGUCCCGGGAGAUUCUCGAUCAGGCCGUGAAACAGUGGGCAGUGACUGAGAGCAAAUACAGCGACAUCCCUUUUAUCGAAAGUGACGUGCCCUGAGCGGCGAGGACCGUCUCCACUGCGAGUGUCCUCUCUGCUGUGCAGUUUGUAUUUGGUACUAGUGCAAAUAAAGUAACAUCAGCUGUGAUUUGAGCAUAAUUUGAGCUGCUAUAUGAAUGUGUUUGCAAGAAGAGGCUGAAAAAAAUUGCCUUUUAAUCUAUAUUGCUAAGAAACUAACUGGAUUACAGUAGAAUCUCUUAAUCAAGUGUCAUUUGUUAUCAGCUGUAUGUUGAGUAUAUUCUGUCUCUGCAUGUGUUGACUGUGAUCAGAAAUUAGUGUUAAAAAGGCGAUGAGAAGAAUGUGGCUGUCCUGCAACUGUUCAGGCACUGUCACCGAGGCCCCAAAGAUGCUCAACAACAAAGCGUGGGUUAUUUUUCUGUACCGCAUAAAAAGUCAGUGGCCUGUUCGUAGGUGAAAUGAGAAGAACUCACAAUACUUGGUAAAUUUGUCCUCAUUUUGCUAAUGUGAAAUCAGGGUCUACAUGUAGCAAAGGUAACUGCUGUCAUAAAUUUUACUUUGAUGCUUUGACCUGACAACAUUGUGAUUUACAAUCACAAAAUCAUGAAGGUGAUGAGAAGCAUAUUAUAAAAGCAGUAUUCAGGGAACCACAGGGAUUGUGAUACUAUUCAGCUUCCCUUCUCAAGUGAAGCAGUGAGAAACAUGACAAUACUGUUCAACAGUGCUUUAUCAGUACCACAUGCUCUGGCUUCCCGUAAACGCAUGACGGCUCUUCUCUAAAAUCUGCAUUCAGACCAAAGCUGUUCAUUUUGGUUUGGGGUUUUGGAUUUUAUUUUUGUGUUGGGUUUGGGGGUGUUUGUUUUGUUUUUUUACUGUAACCCUGGUAAGUGUGCAAAGACUACUGAUGCUGACGAGCAAAAUGAACCUUCAGAGGCAUAACAAUGUUUUGGGACUAUUUGUUUCUUGGGAACUCUGGCUGCAUUUCACUAAAAUUCCGCCCUGACGCCCUUGGUACGGUGUGCCAGCCUUCAGGCUCUGCAGGCUUCUUCGCUUCCCCAAUGGUGAAACUCCGUGUGGCGAUGCAAAAAUGAGCGACAGAAACCCAGAGCCUGGUGCUCAAUUGGCAAAAAUAACCCUCAGGCCCAAAGCUGCAGGGCUGUGUUCUUCACCCAUUUUACAUCCACACGCUGCACCUGCUCCUCCCGGACUUGCAGCCUGAGCCACUGUCCUCGGAACUCACCUCUGAGAUAUGGAGAAAGGGAUGAGUUAGUCGUAGUCAUCUCAAAGGUAGGAUUUUGAUGACAUUUUCUACAAAGUGAACGCCUUGUGAAAGCUUGAGUUUCCAGCACUGUUUUCUGUUAUGGCCAGUUUAAAGAAUGUAGGUGUGGGGGUUUUUUUCUACAUCUAAGUGCUUUCCUUUCCAUUUUAUGUUUUCAUUUUGAUAGAAAAAUGCUUUCCAUACUGGCAAAAACUGUUACUAUUUUUGAAAGGUACGUGUAGUUCUGGUAAAUUAUAUAAAGGGUGAUUUCUGAAGCAAUGGGAAGAGGUCAUUAUUUUUAGCUUAUUCUCAGACAUGACACAGUCUAUGAAUUGGGCUGUUUUGCAAACUUUGUGACGCAAACUCAGUUAUUGGAACUUCACCUAUACAGGGAAGUGGCUGCAUCAAGAUUAAACAGUGAAAAAUGCUGCUUUGUAGCAGUGCAAGACUGCCAUUAAUUCACAAUGACCAGACUAGACCCUGCUGUUAAGACUGUUCUUGGGCUUUUGCUGGAAAAGGGAACAAAAUCUGCUUAUGCUGUACUGUCAUCUUUGAUGUAACGGAGUUCUUUGAAGCCCAUAUAUAGAGGGACGAAGGUAUUAUGGUGCAUUUAAAUUCUACUGCUAACAGUGAUGUUCCUUGAAGCUCUAACGCGUGUAAAUCAUUAGAUUAUCCCCUGCAUUUGCUCUAUCUAAAAAUACUCCAUGCCAUAUAUUAAGGUGAAUUAAAAAAAAAAGCAAAACACCAAUCAGUACAUAUUAAUUGGAUAUUAAAAAAGAUUCCUAUUCUUAUAGCUAAAAUAAAGCUUUAUUACAAAAAAAAAAAAA
Columba livia (rock pigeon) is the source of this 9862-nucleotide RNA transcript. It is a transcript of the gene named chromosome 7 C2orf88 homolog, with no coding region annotated. The record is from RefSeq and is a predicted model, not a curated record. The transcript has 9 exons. NCBI's taxonomy places the organism in Eukaryota, Metazoa, Chordata, Aves, Columbiformes, Columbidae.